GCUCAAGGAAUCACUGGCGGCAGGUCAACACAUGCAGGACGAACGCAUCCUUCGGGGUGAGUGGCAGACGGGUGAGUUAUCUCCGGGAACGUACCGUUAAGUUUGGAAUAACCCAGGGAAACUUGGGCUAAUGCCGGAUACGCCCGAGAGGGGAAAGAUUUAUCGCUGAGAGAUCGGCCCGCGUCUGAUUAGCUAGUUGGUGAGGUAAAGGCUCACCAAGGCGACGAUCAGUAGCUGGUCUGAGAGGAUGAUCAGCCACAUUGGGACUGAGACACGGCCCAAACUCCUACGGGAGGCAGCAGUGGG
Molecule: ribosomal RNA, 306 nt
Filed under: uncultured Microvirga sp.
Lineage: Bacteria; Pseudomonadati; Pseudomonadota; Alphaproteobacteria; Hyphomicrobiales; Methylobacteriaceae
Description: bacterial SSU rRNA
Rfam family: Bacterial small subunit ribosomal RNA
Source: RNAcentral